Molecule: ribosomal RNA, 292 nt
Filed under: uncultured bacterium
Lineage: Bacteria
Description: partial 16S ribosomal RNA
Rfam family: Bacterial small subunit ribosomal RNA
Source: RNAcentral
GUGUCAGCCGCCGCGGUAAUACGUAGGUUGCGAGCGUUAUUCGGAUUUACUGGGCGUAAAGAGCACCGAGGUGGCUUCUUAAGUUGGAUGUAAAAUCUCCUGGCUUAACUGGGAGGCGCCAUUCAAAACUGAGGAGCUUGAGGUCAGCAGGGGAAGGUGGAAUUCCCGGUGUAGUGGUGGAAUGCGUAGAGAUCGGGAGGAACACCAGUGGCGAAAGCGACCUUCUGGGCUGCACCUGACACUCUAGUGCGAAAGCGUGGGGAGCAAACAGGAUUAGAUACCCGGGUAGUCC